Molecule: ribosomal RNA, 201 nt
Filed under: Salmonella enterica subsp. enterica serovar Infantis
Lineage: Bacteria; Pseudomonadati; Pseudomonadota; Gammaproteobacteria; Enterobacterales; Enterobacteriaceae
Also listed under: 15 other names
Description: partial 23S ribosomal RNA
Rfam family: Bacterial large subunit ribosomal RNA
Source: RNAcentral
GUGAAAUUGAACUCGCUGUGAAGAUGCAGUGUACCCGCGGCAAGACGGAAAGACCCCGUGAACCUUUACUAUAGCUUGACACUGAACAUUGAGCCUUGAUGUGUAGGAUAGGUGGGAGGCUUUGAAGUGUGGACGCCAGUCUGCAUGGAGCCGACCUUGAAAUACCACCCUUUAAUGUUUGAUGUUCUAACGUGGACCCGU